Long non-coding RNA from Nerophis ophidion (straightnose pipefish), 771 nucleotides. RefSeq lists it as uncharacterized. The record is from RefSeq and is a predicted model, not a curated record. Lineage: Eukaryota; Metazoa; Chordata; Actinopteri; Syngnathiformes; Syngnathidae. The transcript has 2 exons.
UAAAACAAAUCUUAAAAAUACAUUUUAGAGUGAUUUUUUUGUGUGUGUUUUUAUUACACUGGGUAUUAUGUUUUUUCUUCAAGAUUUUAGUUUUUUUUUUACUCUGGGUAUUAAAACAAAUAUUAAAAAUACAUUUUCCAGUGAUUAUUUUAGUGUUUUUAGUACUCUGGGUGUAAUUUUUUUUCAAGAUUUUAGUGUUUUUAUUACUCUGGGUGUUAUUCUUUUUCCAAGAUUUUAGUGUUUUUACCACGCUAGGUACUAAAAUGUAUUUUUAGGAUUUGUUUUAAUGCCCAGAGUAAUAAAAACACUACAAAAAAAUCACUCUAAAAUGUAUUUUUAAGAUUUGUUUUAGAGUGGACAAUGUGUGUUAAAAGCUUAAUUAUUGAAAUACAUUUAAAAACAACUAAACAUGAUCUUUAGCCUCCAUGUUUUAUUGAUAUUUUUGUCAUUUUGUGUAUCAAAGUUGGCUUCUUUUUACACUUGAAUGAGAAAAUGACACCUAAAAUGACUUGAACUCAAGUUUAAGGAAGGAAAGUGCUUGUCGUGUGACGACCUAAGAAUGUGGCCAUUUGAGUUGGCUUCUUUUUACACUUGAAUGAGAAAAUGACACCUAAAAUUACUUGAACUCAAGUUUAAGGAAGGAAAGUGCUUGUCGUGUGACGACCUAAGAAGGUGAGCUCCCUCAUUUCCAAAAUGAAGUCCUUGUUGUAGUAAUUAUAUACUUUUUUAGUGUUUUUAUUACUCUGGGCAUUAAAACAAAUCUUGAAAAUA